RNAcentral lists this long non-coding RNA (3946 nucleotides) under Nicotiana tabacum (common tobacco). RNAcentral describes it as "long non-coding RNA (NTAB_LNC005898)". Lineage: Eukaryota; Viridiplantae; Streptophyta; Magnoliopsida; Solanales; Solanaceae. The record is from RNAcentral.
UUUCCCAUAUACUCCACUUUUUAUUUUGUUCUUCUCCCUCGCCUUUCUUUUUUCUGAGUCAUGAUUUUGGUGCAUUUGCCGGAAGUUUUUUGUAUGUCCUUUCAUUGUAAUGGGUCUUUGUUUUAAACCCUCCAAAACUACAUUAAAAGCUUUGUCUUUGGCAGUGAAAGAUCAGAAGAUCCAUUGAUUUGUCAAGUGUAAGUGAUGACAUCUUACAUAAAUUAAAGGAGAGAUAUUUUCGCCAAAGCUAAAUAUCUAAAGAAAUCGAGAAGUUGGUACUUGGGGUUAUAUUGUCAUCUACUUGAUUUUUCCGUGAUUUUCCUGCUUCUUUUUUUGAAUGUCGUGUGUUUGAUUUUGUAUGAGUGUAUUAACUUUUAAUUUGUGAUUGCAUGGCUUAAAAAAACUAGGGCUUGAUGCCUUUAGAUCAACUAUGCUGAAGUAAUUUAUUUUUAUUCUCUUUCCAUUUGGAGAGAUGUUGGAUUCUAUUAAGCUUUCGGCUUUUCUUGAAAUUGGGAGUCAACUAUCAACUGGCUCUUAUUAUUAUUUUCUACAGUACUUAAACUUAAAAUUUGAUUUCUAUAUGUUUGUUCUCUUCUGGGGGGUACUGUUUAUAUUGUUCUUAAAUGAAAAUGCAAUAUGAAUUUUUUUUUUAUUUUCUCAAUUUGAUUUUUGCCUUUUGUUCUUUGUAGGCUCAUGUCAAUUCUGGGUUUGGAGGUCUCUAUUUUUAUAUGUGAAUAAAUUACCUAGAUCGAUAUAUAUUUUUCUAUGAAUUUGCUACAAUUCCAAAUCCAAUUACAAUUUAUACUUUUUUUGGUUUUGCAGGGAAGUAAAGCUGAUCAAUUUCAGAUGUUAGCUACGGCAUGUUUGUCGCUUGCAUCCAAGAUGGAAGAUAUGGAUGCUCCUUUGACUGUUGAUUUGCAUGUUACUUAAAUUUAUCAACAGGUGAUAUGAAUUCUCUAUUUGUAAUGUCGAAUCUAUAUGAUAAAGAUGCUUGUGUUCUUAGCUUUAAAUGGGUGUAUUUUAUGGUUAUAAUGACAUCAGUACCUUGUACCUUGCUCUUCUGUUAAUUUCUUUUGUGGUUAGUUUCUUGCUACCCAAAAUAAAUGGUAAUUUUGAGUACUACAUGAAUUUGCCCAUCUUCAGAGUAGGCAAAGUAAAUCUCUUUCUCUUUCUCUCUCGCCUUGAGGCGUUCCCCAUCAAGCAACGGUGGAGGUAGAAAAGGCAUAUUUUUGACGCUCUAGAGCUUUAUGUUCUGUUGACAAUGAAUUGACAGUAGCAGAAGUAUGGCAAAAUUGGAUUUUUUUCUCAAUGAAUUUUGUGUUGCUAUUUUAUGGUUGUUCGAUGUAAGGCUAAUAAUGACUGCAAUUUUCAGAAGAUGUCAUUCAUUUUGUGCUCCAGCAUUCUUGCCUUGUCCGAUUAGUAAUGAGUAAGUUUUUCUUCUAUUGCUUUACUGUAUUUGGCUAUUGCACCUAAGAGCCUUUUGUGGCUAUACAUAGAUGAAAAGAAAUAGCUUCUUAUUUUAUAGCAUGUCAAGCAGGUGAGAAUGAAAUUGAAAAAAGGUAACAGCUUCCUUAAAAGCUAAAUCUGUUUAGUGUUGGUGAAGCAUGUUAAAGGAUGGUGAAUUAACAAAUUUAAUCUUGCAGAUAAAAGUGAGGACAUAUUUGAAAUCAAGGUUGUGGGAGAAAAAGCAGAGAGUACUUCCCUAGACAUACAGCUGAAUACAUAAGAGUUUAUUAGGUUCUGAAUGACUCUUAAUGUUCCAUGAAUGAUUGUUUAUAACACCCAAUCGACAUAGUGAUUUUCAUUUGGAAGGUAUGUAACUUAUUAUUGAGCUUGCAGUAUAUUAACCUAUGUAUCAUUGCAUUUAUCUUCUCAAGAAACCAGAAAAAUGAAAUGGAUACAGAUUGUGCUUAUGAUAGGGAUUCUACGACCAUUUUUAUUGUCCUUGUGCUUAUUUUAAUAUUGGUGGGUGCUUUAUUGUAGAUGCAAAUAUGAUUUUAGGGGAAAAAUAUUAGAAGAUGCUGGCUAUGUAGUUGGAACAUGAAUUUUGAAAUUCCUCUACCAAAGGAAAAAAUGUAUGAAAUUGCUUUUGCAAUUUACUCCCUGUUAUUUUAAUUUUAACUAUAACUGGAAAAUAUAUAUCUUAACUAGAGAGUUGGGAAGUAGGAAAAAUUUUAGAAAGGAAAAAAAGAAAGAGCAAGAGUUUGGUAAAAUAUAUUUGUUGUAUUUGUAGUUGUGUAUAAGAAACAUGUUGAAUUUUACUCUGUUUGCUUGCAUGUGUUUUCUAUUGCACUACUGCUACUUUGUCUAAUUUUGUGUUAACAAGAAAAAUUAGGUAUGGCUUUUAAUUAUUCAAAGUUAUAUCUCCAUUUGUUUGCAUGUAUAUUUGAAAGUGCUGGCUGACUAAGGUUAGAAAGCCUAGAAAGUGGAAUGAAAAUGGUACAAAAAAUCUUAGGAUUACUGCCAUUAGACUCCCUUAUGAAUUGUGGGUUGACAUAAUCUCGAAGGAAUAUAAGAAAUGUUAUCAGAAGGCUAGCAUACAUAAAUUAUGAGAUAUCAGGCUUAGCAUACAUAAAAUAUGAGAUAUCUGGCUUAGUUUUAGGAUUGAGUCCUAUUGUGGGAGGCUUGAAAAAUACUGGGACUUCUAUUACAGCAGCUCUGUCGACAUUAGUUGGCACAAUAGUUAGAUCGUCAACCUCAACAGAUUGGGAAGUGGGUAAGGAUUUUGGAACUAAAUGUUUGUUGAUAAGCAAUUUUACCAUACUUAAUGUUGAUCAUGUUGUAAGAACAUUGAGAAAAGGUAACCAAUUGAGGCUAAAUCAAGAAACUAUGGUCCUCUGACUCUUAAAACACAUAAGCUCGGCAUGGAUAAAAGUGGUUUGGAUCAUAGCUAGAGCCUGUCGUGUUUGGUGAAUCUUGUGCAUGGUAUAUAUAUUUGGUACAGUAGGAAUAUGAACAAGAACAGGGAGAAUAUCAUUAAAAAAAUCAUACGAGGCAUCAAGGUGUAAUUAAGUAAUAUUUGUCACUGAGCUUUAAGUUACUCAGGAAGAAGUCCAUUGUUGUGCUCGACUAAUGAUUGACAUACACAAAUGAUGAUUUUACAUUAUUAGUCUGGAAAAGACAUUGAUAGUGCUAUUUUCCAGCUACAUUGUAGCAUUACAAAGCUCAUGAAGUUAUUGAACAUAUAUGUAAUGAAUAUGCAGCUAAAUUCACUCUUUUCCAUGGCCACAAGGAAGCAUUGGCCAUAUUGGUGCCCUUAAAUACCUUGUUACGCUGUUGUAGCCAUCCCGUUCUAUUAUGGUUUGUUUUGCAUGUGUUGUUCAUACAGAUAAAGGUGAGUUUACGCUGAAAAGGAAUUAAUGAUAGCCAUUUUUGGUACUUCUUUGUUAUUCUUGCCCGUGAGUGAGAAUUAAGUAUUUUGUAUUUCCGUCUGUGGUAGCCAUAGGAAAGCAAUAGCAAUUUCGUCUUAUGAGUUUGAUUCAAUUGAGUUUGGGGAGGGUAGAUUAUAUGCAAACUUUACCCCUACCUUGUGGAAGUAGAGAGGUUAUUUCCGAUAGACCCUCGGCUUAAGAAAAGCGAUUUUCAAAACAGGUCUGAAAAAAAAAAAGCAACACGAUAGUAAUAGUGUAGUCUUAGUUGACAUGUCUCAUAUUUUAUAUUGAUGUAAUAGUUGUUCUAAGAUCUUCUCAACGCUGCAGGGAAGGAGAAAAGACGCAGGACUUCUUGGUAUUUAUCUUUCUUGGCAUUACAUGGAUAGUGGCGUAGUAUGAAAAGAAAAAUGACACCACUACUUCAAUUUGUCUAAUGUGUAUGUACCUGUUAAUUUUUCAAGUUCUAUUUUGUUUUUGUUAGAGACUCAAGUUUGUCAUGAUAAUGGUUAUAAAUUAGAUAUUUGUGCUAUUUAACUAGGUGAUGCUUGACUAUAAAAUUUAUGCAUAAUUCCUGC